GAUGAACGCUAGCGGGAGGCUUAACACAUGCAAGUCGAGGGGCAGCAUAGGGUAGCAAUACUCUGGAUGGCGACCGGCAAACGGGUGAGUAACGCGUAUGUAACCUACCCUGUACAGGGGGAUAACCCGGAGAAAUUCGGACUAAUAUCCCAAUAACAAUAUCCGGGGGCAUCUUUGGAUAUUUAAAGUUCCGGCGGUACGGGAUGGGCAUGCGUAACAUUAGCUAGUUGGUAAGGUAACGGCUUACCAAGGCUUUGAUGUUUAGGGGUCCUGAGAGGGUGGUCCCCCACACUGGUACUGAGACACGGACCAGACUCCUACGGGAGGCAGCAGUGAGGAAUAUUGGUCAAUGGGCGCAAGCCUGAACCAGCCAUCCCGCGUGCAGGAAGACGGCGCUAUGCGUUGUAAACUGCUUUUCCAGGGAGAGAAACUUGCGCACGUGUUGCGCAAUUGACGGUACCCUGGGAAUAAGCAUCGGCUAACUCCGUG
RNAcentral lists this ribosomal RNA (489 nucleotides) under uncultured bacterium. RNAcentral describes it as "bacterial SSU rRNA". It matches the Rfam family "Bacterial small subunit ribosomal RNA", at positions 28 to 507 of the family's 1533-position model. The record is from RNAcentral.